This 378-nucleotide ribosomal RNA is filed under the name Clostridioides difficile. Its description in RNAcentral is "bacterial SSU rRNA". It matches the Rfam family "Bacterial small subunit ribosomal RNA", at positions 1 to 388 of the family's 1533-position model. The record is from RNAcentral. Lineage: Bacteria; Bacillati; Bacillota; Clostridia; Peptostreptococcales; Peptostreptococcaceae.
UUAUUUGAGAGUUUGAUCCUGGCUCAGGAUGAACGCUGGCGGCGUGCCUAACACAUGCAAGUUGAGCGAUUUACUUCGGUAAAGAGCGGCGGACGGGUGAGUAACGCGUGGGUAACCUACCCUGUACACACGGAUAACAUACCGAAAGGUAUGCUAAUACGGGAUAAUAUAUUUGAGAGGCAUCUCUUGAAUAUCAAAGGUGAGCCAGUACAGGAUGGACCCGCGUCUGAUUAGCUAGUUGGUAAGGUAAUGGCUUACCAAGGCGACGAUCAGUAGCCGACCUGAGAGGGUGAUCGGCCACAUUGGAACUGAGACACGGUCCAAACUCCUACGGGAGGCAGCAGUGGGGAAUAUUGCACAAUGGGCGAAAGCCUGAUG